GAUGAACGCUGGCGGCGUGCCUAAUACAUGCAAGUCGAGCGAACGGACGAGAAGCUUGCUUCUCUGAUGUUAGCGGCGGACGGGUGAGUAACACGUGGAUAACCUACCUAUAAGACUGGUAUAACUUCGGGAAACCGGAGCUAAUACCGGAUAAUAUUUUGAACCGCAUGGUUCAAAAGUGAAAGACGGUCUUGCUGUCACUUAUAGAUGGAUCCGCGCUGCAUUAGCUGGUUGGUAAGGUAACGGCUUACCAAGGCAACGAUGCAUAGCCGACCUGAGAGGGUGAUCGGCCACACUGGAACUGAGACGCGGUCCAGACGCCUACGGGAGGCAGCAGUAGGGAAUCUUACGCAAUGGGCGAAAGCCUGACGGAGCAACGCCGCGUGAGUGAUGAAGGUCUUCGGAUCGUAAAACUCUGUUAUUAGGGAAGAACAUAUGUGUAAGUAACUGUGCACAUCUUGACGGUACCUAAUCAGAAAGCCACGGCUAACUACGUG
This 497-nucleotide ribosomal RNA is filed under the name uncultured bacterium. Its description in RNAcentral is "partial 16S ribosomal RNA". It matches the Rfam family "Bacterial small subunit ribosomal RNA", at positions 28 to 507 of the family's 1533-position model. The record is from RNAcentral.